This is a transfer RNA of Clostridiales bacterium KLE1615, 72 nucleotides long. It matches the Rfam family "tRNA". From Rfam's summary of the family: Transfer RNA (tRNA) molecules are approximately 80 nucleotides in length. Their secondary structure includes four short double-helical elements and three loops (D, anti-codon, and T loops). Further hydrogen bonds mediate the characteristic L-shaped molecular structure. tRNAs have two regions of fundamental functional importance: the anti-codon, which is responsible for specific mRNA codon recognition, and the 3' end, to which the tRNAs corresponding amino acid is attached (by aminoacyl-tRNA synthetases). tRNAs cope with the degeneracy of the genetic code in two manners: having more than one tRNA (with a specific anti-codon) for a particular amino acid; and 'wobble' base-pairing, i.e. permitting non-standard base-pairing at the 3rd anti-codon position. The record is from Rfam. NCBI's taxonomy places the organism in Bacteria, Bacillati, Bacillota, Clostridia, Eubacteriales.
ACACCUGUAGCUCAGUGGAUAGAGCAGUAGAAUCCGGAUCUACGUGCGGGGGUUCGAUUCCCUUCAGGUGUG